AUGGUCAGGCCAAACAUGAAACCCAUUGUCCAGUUCUUUCUAAAGCUCCUCCUCAUUGUCCUUAGUGCACCACAGUUUAUUGCCGGCGAUGACAACCAGCGGUUUGUCUACUCCGGCUUCGCUGACACUAGCCUCGCCCUUGACAGCAUAGCCUCAGUCACGCCAAGCGGACUGCUCGAGCUGACCAACGGCACGGCGAUGAGCAUGGGCCACGCCUUCUACCCACCUCCGCUGCGCCUCCGCGACUCGCCCAACGGCACGGUGCAGUCCUUCUCCACAUCCUUCGUGUUCGGCAUCAUCUCCAUCUACGACUUGAGCAGCCAUGGCCUAACUAUGUUGGUCGCACCGAGCAAGGAUUUCUCCAAGGCCACACCAGUACAGUACCUGGGCCUUGUGAAUGGCUCGAACAACGGCAACACAACAAAUCAUAUCUUCGCCGUCGAGCUCGACACAUGGCAGAACACCGAGUUCGGGGACAUCAACAACAACCACAUCGGCAUCGAUAUCAAUGGCCUCAGCUCCGUGCAGUCCCAUCCAGACGGUUUCUUCCAUGACCACAACGGCAUGUUCAAGGACUUGACUCUCAGUAGCCAAGAGGUGAUGCAGGUGUGGGUGGACUACGACAGAGAGAAGAUUCAGAUCGAUGUUACCAUGGCUCCUCUCGACAUGGCCACCAAGCCCAAGAGACCAACAGUGUCCACCAGGUACAACCUCUCAACUGUGCUCAAAGAUGUGGCGUACAUCGGCUUCUCAUCUUCAACGGGCAAGAUAAAAACACGGCACUACGUGCUCGGAUGGAGCUUCGCCAUGAACGGUCCUGCUCCAGUCAUCAAUGUCACCAUGCUUCCAAAGCUUCCUCGGCAUCAUCCCAAGGGUAAUCGAUCCUGGGUGUUAGAAAUAGUUCUGCCAGUAGCAACAGCAGCAGUCCUCCUGUCUUUGGGCACCAUUGCUUUUCUCUUUGUCCAGAGGCAUUUAAGGUAUGCACAGCUACGAGACAGCUGGGAGAUGGAGUUUGGUCCACACAGGUUCUCGUACAAAGAUUUGUAUCAUGCAACGGGGGGAUUUGAGGACAAAAACCUUCUAGGAGUUGGAGGAUUCGGGAGAGUGUACAAAGGGGUGCUUCCGAGAUCAAGAUUGAAGAUAGCCGUGAAGAGGGUGUCACAUGAUUCAAAACAAGGCAUGAAGGAGUUCAUCGCAGAAAUUGUCAGCAUAGGCCGCCUUCAGAACCGUAAUCUUGUGCCGUUGCUUGGCUAUUGUCGGCGUAAAGGUGAACUCCUCUUGGUAUAUGAGUACAUGCCCAAUGGAAGCCUCGAUAAGUACCUGCAUGGCAAAGGGGAUAACACAGUGUUGAGUUGGGCUCAAAGGUUUCAUAUAGUCAAAGGAAUUGCAUCUGGUUUGCUUUAUCUUCACGAGGAGUGGGAAAAAGUGGUUGUUCAUCGAGACAUCAAGGCAAGCAAUGUGCUCCUUGACGACAAGAUGAAUGGGCGAUUGGGUGAUUUCGGCCUUGCAAGGCUAUAUGAUCAUGGCAUCGACCCACACACUACACAUGUGGUUGGCACCAUAGGCUACCUAGCUCCAGAGCUAGCACACAGCGGAAAUGCCACUCCUCCUACAGAUGUCUUUGCUUUCGGCAUGUUCAUCCUUGAGGUCACCUGUGGACAAAGGCCUGUCAAUUACCAAAACGCACAAGGCAACCAGCUCAUGUUGGUUGAUUGGGUGAUUGACAAUGUGCAGAAAGGAUCAUUCGAUGAUACAGUGGAUGCUAGGCUAAAAGGGAGGUAUGAUGUUGAUGAGGCCUAUUUGGCGCUAAAGAUAGGGCUACUAUGCUCACACCCAUUCAUCAACGCGAGGCCUAGCAUGCGGCAAGUUAUGCAAUACCUAGAUGGGGAAAUUGAACCUCCAGAGUUAAGGUCCGAGUCGCUAGCCUUAAUGCAAAAUGAUGGGUUCGAGCCAUACACCAUUUCCUAUCCUUCGUCAACUACAAGCAUUGGCACAGUGUCCCACGUCUCAGGAGGAAGAUGA
Molecule: ribosomal RNA, 2022 nt
Filed under: Triticum aestivum (bread wheat)
Lineage: Eukaryota; Viridiplantae; Streptophyta; Magnoliopsida; Poales; Poaceae
Description: partial small subunit ribosomal RNA
Source: RNAcentral